UACGGAGGGUGCAAGCGUUGCUCGGAAUUAUUGGGCGUAAAGGGCAGGUAGGUGGUCUCAUUUGUCCGGGGUGAAAGCCUUGAGCUUAACUCAAGAAGUGCCCCGGAAACGGUGAGACUAGAGUGCUGGAGAGGGUCGUGGAAUUCCCGGUGUAGCGGUGAAAUGCGUAGAGAUCGGGAGGAACACCAGAGGCGAAGGCGGCGACCUGGACAGUGACUGACACUCAACUGCGAAAGCGUGGGGAGCAAACAGG
This 253-nucleotide ribosomal RNA is filed under the name uncultured bacterium. RNAcentral's name for it is "partial 16S ribosomal RNA". It matches the Rfam family "Bacterial small subunit ribosomal RNA", at positions 524 to 776 of the family's 1533-position model. The record is from RNAcentral.